CAGAUCACGUAAAAAUUUAAUAGUCGAACAGACUACGCAUUCCAAGCUCCUACACCUAAAAUUAAUUUUAAUUCAACAUCGAGGUCGCAACCUUAAUUAUUAAUAAGAACUUGCUAAUUAAAUAACGCUGUUAUCCCUAGAGUAACUAAUAAACUAAAAUUUUCCACCUAAAAAUUAAUUUCUUCAGUGAUUGCCCCAAUCAAAAAUAUAAAUAUACCUAAAGCUUCUAGGGUCUUCUCGUCCCAGAAAUUUAUAAAAGCAUUUUUACCUUUAAUUUAAGUUCAAAACAUAUUAAAUAAAACCCUCUCCUUAGUAUCUACCUUUCAUUCCAGUCUUCAAUUAAAAAA
RNAcentral lists this ribosomal RNA (347 nucleotides) under Quindina kuna. RNAcentral describes it as "partial large subunit ribosomal RNA". Lineage: Eukaryota; Metazoa; Arthropoda; Arachnida; Opiliones; Nomoclastidae. The record is from RNAcentral.